AAAUUGAAGAGUUUGAUCAUGGCUCAGAUUGAAUGCUGGCGGCAGGCCUAACACAUGCAAGUCGAACGGUAACAGGAAACAGCUUGCUGUUUCGCUGACGAGUGGCGGACGGGUGAGUAAUGUCUGGGAAACUGCCUGAUGGAGGGGGAUAACUACUGGAAACGGUAGCUAAUACCGCAUAACGUCGCAAGACCAAAGAGGGGGACCUUCGGGCCUCUUGCCAUCGGAUGUGCCCAGAUGGGAUUAGCUUGUUGGUGGGGUAACGGCUCACCAAGGCGACGAUCCCUAGCUGGUCUGAGAGGAUGACCAGCCACACUGGAACUGAGACACGGUCCAGACUCCUACGGGAGGCAGCAGUGGGGAAUAUUGCACAAUGGGCGCAAGCCUGAUGCAGCCAUGCCGCGUGUAUGAAGAAGGCCUUCGGGUUGUAAAGUACUUUCAGCGGGGA
Molecule: ribosomal RNA, 448 nt
Filed under: Escherichia coli
Lineage: Bacteria; Pseudomonadati; Pseudomonadota; Gammaproteobacteria; Enterobacterales; Enterobacteriaceae
Description: bacterial SSU rRNA
Rfam family: Bacterial small subunit ribosomal RNA
Source: RNAcentral